AUUUAGAUAGUAUUUGUCUGGUGUACGGAGUGUUUACAAAAUAUUAUUAUAGCUUACAUCUCCUCAUUUAUUUGUAUAGUUUAUUUGCUUUCAAGGUUUUUUCUUGGUCAAAACAGCUGGUAUGCCCAACGACCGGAAUGCAAUGGAUAGAUGGGCGUUGUUUAAUAAUAAUAAUAAUAAUAAUGUUUUAUUCGUACUCACAAGAAGGAAAGAAAAUUAGUUGUUUACAUAUGUUGUAUAUAUAAGUUAGAGCACUGGCUGCACAAAAUAACCAUAAGGGCUAGAAAGAGGGUGCAGCCAAUAAGGACUGGGGAAAAUAUAAAUAUAAAACUAGCUCACAGAACAGCUGUCUCCAGUAGGAUAUAUACGUUGGAGAGAGCUGCACGCAAAAUAACCUCAUUACAAUGUUCAUAUUUACAUCAAAUAAUAAAGUUAAUUCUUGUUACAAUUCUCAAUAUUUCUGGAUCAUUUCAAUUUUUAUUCUCUUUUUGAAUUGCAAGAGAGAGAGAGAUUUGACAUUCUCGUCUAGAGAAUUCCAGAUUUUAACACCUUGGAAUCUUAUAUUAAAGAUACCAUAAUUGGUUCUAGUUUUUGGUAAAUAGUAUGAUUGUUUAACGGCAAGUCUUGUACUAUAAUUAGAAGCCUCAUGGACCGGAAUAUAAAACUGACCAAAAGCCACCGGUAAUAAGUUGUUAUGGAAUUUGUACAUAAAUUUGGCAAGAUGGAAAGAAACAAGAUCAGGCAAUUUCAUGAUAUUCAAUCUUUUAAAUAAGGGACUUGAGUGUUCAUCGUAUUUUGCAAAUGUAAUUAUUCGUAUAGCUUUUUUUUGUAAGAUAUACAAGUGUUGUAGAGUAGAGGGGUAUGUAUUACCCCAAAUAGUUAUUCCAUAAAUCAAGAACGGGUAAAUCAAUGCAUAAUAAAGAUUUACAAGAAUUUGCUCACAAACAUGGUAGCGUAAUUUGGAAAGGAUCCCAAUACUUCUUUUAAUUUUCUUUGCAAUGUAAAUUGUUUGACUUUUCCAGUUAAGAUUAGAAUCUAUGUAGAUUCCCAAAUAUUUAAUACAAAGUUCUUGUUUUAGUUCUUUUCCAUUCAAAUAUAAUUUGAAAUUUGAGGAUAUUUUCUUUUGUGGAGGAUGGAAAAUAACGAAAUUUGACUUUUCAAUAUUCAGAGAAAUGCGAUUUGAGCACAACCAUAUGUGUACAUUAUUUAGCUCAUUAUUCAAGUCAUUUUGUAAUGUAAGCAAGUUUUUGUGUUUAUAGAAAAGAUUUGAAUCGUCUGCAAAUAAAUGAAAAUCUAAAAGUUUUGAGCAACAAUUGAAGUCAUUUACAUAUAACAGGAACAGCAAUGGUCCCAGUACCGAUCCUUGGGGGAUACCACAAGAUAGUGUUAGUUGAUCUGAUGAUACAUUAUUCAAAAAGACAAAUUGUUUUCGAUUACUAAGAUAGGAAGCAAGCCAAUCUUUUGCUAUCCCUCUAAUUCCAUAAUGCUCAAGUUUCAUAAUCAGAAUUUCAUGAUUAACUGUAUCGAAUGCCUUACUAAAAUCCAAAAAUACACCACAUGAAAAUUGGCACUCUUCAAUUGCUUUUUGAAUUUUAUCAACAAUACACAAAAUCGCAGAAUCAGUCGAAUAUCCUGUACGAAAUCCAAACUGCUUGUUGUAAAGAAUAUUAUUUUUGUUAAGAAAGACUAUUAAUCUAUUAAACAUUAGUUUUUCUAGAAGUUUAUUAAAAACCGACAGAAGAGAAAUAGGUCGAUAAUUAUUUAAAUUAGUAGACAGACCUUUCUUGAAUACAGGUAUUACUUUUGCCAGCUUAAAUCUCUCAGGAACAAUUCCUGUUAAGAUGGACUCAUUAAAAACUGUUUCCAGGGGUGUUGCUAUAACACUUUUAAGUAAUUUUAAUACUGAAAUUGGUAUGCUAAAAGGACCAGUAGACUUAUUUGUCCUUAAAGACAUUAUUUCAUUUUCUAUCUCCAACGAUGUUAUAGGAUGUAUAAAGAAACUAUCACGUUGAGGAGUUGUUAGAUAAUCUAGUGGUGAUUUUUGUGCUUCCGGUAUCUUAUUCGAUAAUUGAUUGCCAAUGUUAGUAAAGUAUCUAUUAAAGGCAUUUGCAAUUAAAUUUGUAUCCGUGAUUUCACAGUUAUUCUCAAGAACUUUUGUAGGUUGUUGAUAUGAUUUGGGAUUACUAUGUAUAAUUUUUUUUAUGCCUUUCCAUACUCUCUUGCUAUUAUUAAUAUUAGAGGCAAAGUAUUUAUUAUAGUAUUGUUGUUUAGAUAAUCU
This is a non-coding RNA of Paramuricea clavata, 2278 nucleotides long. NCBI's taxonomy places the organism in Eukaryota, Metazoa, Cnidaria, Anthozoa, Malacalcyonacea, Plexauridae. The record is from the annotation of a GenBank genome assembly.